Molecule: ribosomal RNA, 446 nt
Filed under: uncultured bacterium
Lineage: Bacteria
Description: SSU rRNA
Rfam family: Bacterial small subunit ribosomal RNA
Source: RNAcentral
AGAACGAACGCUGGCGGCAUGCCUAACACAUGCAAGUCGAACGAGACCUUCGGGUCUAGUGGCGCACGGGUGCGUAACGCGUGGGAAUCUGCCCUUGGGUCCGGAAUAACAGUUAGAAAUGACUGCUAAUACCGGAUGAUGACGUAAGUCCAAAGAUUUAUCGCCCAGGGAUGAGCCCGCGUAAGAUUAGGUAGUUGGUGGGGUAAAGGCCUACCAAGCCGACGAUCUUUAGCUGGUCUGAGAGGAUGAUCAGCCACACUGGGACUGAGACACGGCCCAGACUCCUACGGGAGGCAGCAGUGGGGAAUAUUGGACAAUGGGCGAAAGCCUGAUCCAGCAAUGCCGCGUGAGUGAUGAAGGCCCUAGGGUUGUAAAGCUCUUUUACCCGGGAUGAUAAUGACAGUACCGGGAGAAUAAGCCCCGGCUAACUCCGCGCCAGCAGCCGC